This 231-nucleotide RNase MRP RNA is filed under the name Azadinium spinosum. Its description in RNAcentral is "partial RNase MRP". It matches the Rfam family "RNase MRP". From Rfam's summary of the family: RNase MRP is an enzymatically active ribonucleoprotein with two distinct roles in eukaryotes. In mitochondria it plays a direct role in the initiation of mitochondrial DNA replication. Lineage: Eukaryota; Dinophyceae; Gonyaulacales; Amphidomataceae. The record is from RNAcentral.
AAGCACGGCUUCGCAGCGCACGCACGGGGAGCUCGCUCCCAUCCACGCUGCGGGGAAAGUCCCCGUGCCUUAGGUCAGAGAGUGUCAGCGGGAGACCGCAGGGCCUUGGCUUGCAUGCAGGCAGUGAAACCUCUGGUUGAGUUGCAGCUGCAGGCUUUGGCUUUUCGCAGCAGCGCAGGCAUGCCGUGAGCGCUCGCACACGGGCGCCAACUGAACGGGGCUCACUCUCGC